Molecule: long non-coding RNA, 387 nt
Organism: Engraulis encrasicolus (European anchovy)
Lineage: Eukaryota; Metazoa; Chordata; Actinopteri; Clupeiformes; Engraulidae
Exons: 3
Source: RefSeq, a predicted model, not a curated record
GCAUUUCUCCUCCGAUCCAAGAAGCCUGGACUGCAGUCACCAUCUCAACACACCAACCAAGAGAAAGGCGGAUGGCUCAAUUCAAUAUGGAAAAUUGCACAAUAAAAGUUCCAGGACAUGAAGGCUGCAUACUGUGAACGUCAACCUUCAGGGCACCGUCCUGCGCAGAAGACUUUCUACCCUAAGAGGGAUGGCUGACCGCAGACACUCACAACCAGCACAGACGCCUCCAACCUCAGACUAGGCCCUUCACAGUUGCUGCACUUACCCACCUUCCCAGAGUUUUUGUGUGGUAAUGACAACUGUAAAUAUAGUAUAAAGUAAUGUAUCUAGUGUCAUGUGUAAUACAUUGUUUAAAUUGUCCAUACAUUUCAAUGACAGUAAAUA